RNAcentral lists this ribosomal RNA (422 nucleotides) under uncultured bacterium. RNAcentral describes it as "bacterial SSU rRNA". It matches the Rfam family "Bacterial small subunit ribosomal RNA", at positions 81 to 535 of the family's 1533-position model. The record is from RNAcentral.
CGCCCCGCAGGGGAGCGGCAGUACGGGUGAGUAACGCGUGGGAAUCUACCCAUCUCUACGGAACAACUCCGGGAAACUGGAGCUAAUACCGUAUACGUCCUUCGGGAGAAAGAUUUAUCGGAGAUGGAUGAGCCCGCGUUGGAUUAGCUAGUUGGUGGGGUAAUGGCCUACCAAGGCGACGAUCCAUAGCUGGUCUGAGAGGAUGAUCAGCCACACUGGGACUGAGACACGGCCCAUACUCCUACGGGAGGCAGCAGUGGGGAAUAUUGGACAAUGGGCGAAAGCCUGAUCCAGCCAUGCCGCGUGAGUGAUGAAGGCCCUASGGUUGUAAAGCUCUUUCACCGGUGAAGAUAAUGACGGUAACCGGAGAAGAAGCCCCGGCUAACUUCGUGCCAAGCAGCCGCGGUAAUACGAAGGGGGCU